GAUGAAGAACGUAGCGAAAUGCGAUAAGUAAUGUGAAUUGCAGAAUUCAGUGAACCAUCGAAUCUUUGAACGCACAUUGCGCCCGGCAGUAAUCUGCCGGGCAUGCCUGUCCGAGCGUCAUUUCUGCCCUCGAGCGAGUCCAGCAUCUAGGUGCUGGGCCCGCCCGGCGUUGGGGCACUACGGGAAGCCCUGUGCUGUCCCCCGUAGGCCCCGAAAUGAAGUGGCGGUCCUGCCGCGGCGCCCCCUGCGUAGUAUAACAGCUCGCUUCGGGACCCGGUGGAGGCCUGCCGUCAAACCUUACUCUCUAAGUUUGACCGCGGAUCAGGUAGGGUUACCCGCUGAACUUAAGCAUAUCAAUAAGCGGAGGA
Molecule: unclassified non-coding RNA, 368 nt
Filed under: soil metagenome
Description: partial contains 5.8S ribosomal RNA, internal transcribed spacer 2, and large subunit ribosomal RNA
Rfam family: 5.8S ribosomal RNA (bases 1-120)
Source: RNAcentral